GGUCCCGUAGCUCAGUAGGAUAGAGCAUCAGAUUCCUAAUCUGAGGGUCACUGGUUCGAAUCCAGUCGGGAUCACCA
This 77-nucleotide transfer RNA is filed under the name Mesorhizobium sp. RNAcentral describes it as "tRNA-Arg". It matches the Rfam family "tRNA". Rfam says of the family: Transfer RNA (tRNA) molecules are approximately 80 nucleotides in length. Their secondary structure includes four short double-helical elements and three loops (D, anti-codon, and T loops). RNAcentral also lists the same sequence under 8 other names. The record is from RNAcentral. Lineage: Bacteria; Pseudomonadati; Pseudomonadota; Alphaproteobacteria; Hyphomicrobiales; Phyllobacteriaceae.